This 253-nucleotide ribosomal RNA is filed under the name uncultured bacterium. RNAcentral describes it as "partial 16S ribosomal RNA". It matches the Rfam family "Bacterial small subunit ribosomal RNA", at positions 524 to 776 of the family's 1533-position model. The record is from RNAcentral.
UACGGAGGGUGCAAGCGUUGUCCGGAUUUAUUGGGUUUAAAGGGUGCGUAGGCGGUUCUUUAAGUCAGUGGUGAAAGCCUCCAGCUUAACUGGAGAAAUGCCAUUGAUACUGAAGAACUUGAGUACAGACGAGGUAGGCGGAAUUGACGGUGUAGCGGUGAAAUGCAUAGAUAUUGUCAAGAACACCGAUUGCGAAGGCAGCUUACUAGACUGUAACUGACGCUGAGGCACGAAAGCCAGGGGAGCAAACGGG